This 480-nucleotide ribosomal RNA is filed under the name Photobacterium damselae. RNAcentral's name for it is "bacterial SSU rRNA". It matches the Rfam family "Bacterial small subunit ribosomal RNA", at positions 516 to 995 of the family's 1533-position model. Lineage: Bacteria; Pseudomonadati; Pseudomonadota; Gammaproteobacteria; Vibrionales; Vibrionaceae. The record is from RNAcentral.
CGCGGUUAUACGGAGGGUGCGAGCGUUAAUCGGAAUUACUGGGCGUAAAGCGCAUGCAGGCGGCCUGUUAAGUCAGAUGUGAAACCCCGGCGCUUAACCUCGGAUUUGCUUUUGACACUGGCACGCUAUACUCUUGUAGAGGGGGGUAGAAUUUCAGGUGUAGCGGUGAAAUGCGUAUAGAUCUGAAGGAAUACCAGUGGCGAAGGCGGCCCCCUGGACAAAGACUGACGCUCAGAUGCGAAAGCGUGGGGAGCAAACAGGAUUAGAUACCCUGGUAGUCCACGCCGUAAACUAUGUCUACUUGUAGGUUGUGGCCUUGAGCCGUGGCUUUCGGAGCUAACGCGUUAAGUAGACCGCCUGGGGAGUACGGUCGCAAGAUUAAAACUCAAAUGAAUUGACGGGGGCCCGCACAAGCGGUGGAGCAUGUGGUUUAAUUCGAUGCAACGCGAAGAACCUUACCUACUCUUGACAUCCAUAGAA